UACGUAGGGUCCGAGCGUUGUCCGGAAUUACUGGGCGUAAAGAGCUCGUAGGUGGUUUGUCGCGUUGUUCGUGAAAACUCACAGCUCAACUGUGGGCGUGCGGGCGAUACGGGCAGACUAGAGUACUGCAGGGGAGACUGGAAUUCCUGGUGUAGCGGUGGAAUGCGCAGAUAUCAGGAGGAACACCGGUGGCGAAGGCGGGUCUCCGGGCAGUAACUGACGCUGAGGAGCGAAAGCGUGGGGAGCGAACAGG
RNAcentral lists this ribosomal RNA (253 nucleotides) under uncultured bacterium. RNAcentral describes it as "partial 16S ribosomal RNA". It matches the Rfam family "Bacterial small subunit ribosomal RNA", at positions 524 to 776 of the family's 1533-position model. The record is from RNAcentral.